RNAcentral lists this long non-coding RNA (834 nucleotides) under Homo sapiens (human). RNAcentral's name for it is "HSALNT0390592". The record is from RNAcentral. Lineage: Eukaryota; Metazoa; Chordata; Mammalia; Primates; Hominidae.
CCACAUCCUGUCGAGGGACCUCCCUCUGCCCCCCUCACAGCGGUUCUGGGGGGGGAUCGGGCCUUUCAGGACGUGCUGAAACCCCUUCGUGGCGUACCGUGCUGAGCAUGUCGUCAGCUACUCCUAAACAGCCUCCCUAAAUAGAAAGCGCAUUUCCUCCACAGACCGCAUCAUCCAUUUCCCAGGGACAGCCACCCUCCUAAAGACUGAGGCUCGGGGUCAUCUAUUCUCCAGCCCCUCACAUCUGAUCCCCCUCCCGGUUCAUCCUGCCACUCUGUCUCACUUUCGCAUACCCACCUGGCCUGCUCCCCUAUUGUUUCCAUUGUGCCUCCCCAACCAGGUCUGACCACCCCCACACAUAGCUGGCUGAUGCCCCUCACAUCUGCCCUCACCCACUCACAUCUGGCAGCUGCACCCCUUAAACAAUGCAUCACAUCACUGCCCUCCUUACUACAACCUUGCUCAGCUCACACUCAGCAGGAAUCUCACAUUCUUCUUAGCCCCAAACACAGGACACAGCUGGACUCUGCUCCCAGAAUGGACUGACUUCAGCUUCAGGGAUGACACAGAGACUCUGGGACCUUCUUAGGAAGGACACAAGGAGGGAUUUUCAGAGGCUUUGGAGUACAGUGUGUGUUUGCUUCUCAACUUUGCCCCCACUUGGGCUGUCUGCUUUAGAGUGGGGACAGUGAACUAGGCAUGGUGGCUCACACAUGCAAUCCCAGCACUUUGGAAGGUCAAAGCAGAAGGAUCACUUGAGCCCAGGAGCUUGACACCAGCCUGGGCCACAUAGUAAGACCCCGUCUGUACUAAAAAUAAACAUUUUGAAAAUUA